Long non-coding RNA from Phyllostomus discolor (pale spear-nosed bat), 732 nucleotides. RefSeq lists it as uncharacterized. NCBI's taxonomy places the organism in Eukaryota, Metazoa, Chordata, Mammalia, Chiroptera, Phyllostomidae. The record is from RefSeq and is a predicted model, not a curated record. The transcript has 2 exons.
GCCCAAAGUCACCCAGUUUGCAGCGGCCCCGAGGCCCCAGGAAGAUGUUGGCAGGCUUGAUGUCAAGGUGGACCAGGCCUUGGCCAUGCAGGUACAGGAUGCCACCCUCCUCCCAAGCUCGCUCCAGUCGCACACAGCGUGGGUGCUUCCCCACCUUCUCAUGGCCGCUGACCUCAGCCAGCUUUCGGGCCCGAUCCUUGGGUCCCCGGAAUGGCGACAUAGAGCGCUUUAUUGCAUAGAGCCGGCCAUCUUCCUUGGAGCGCACCUGGAAGGAAGAUAAUGCCUGCAGGUGGGGUGGGAGGUGGCCCAACCAUUUAGCAGCACAAUCCAGCAGGUUAUAUUAAGAUUUCAUGUGCGGAAGGUGCAGUAUGGCAUUUACCUUAGAAAGACCCCUGAACAUACAAUAGCAAGACCAGAUGCUGGUUCCCUGGAGGCCCAACAAGGAAGAGACAGGGCAGACAUCUAAGUACUAACACAGAGGGUCUCUAAGACUAUUGUGUGAGGUGAAAAAAGCUGGCUACAGAACAAUACAGGCAGUGUGAUUCACUGUGUAGAAUAUUAAUGGUUUAUCUCUGGUCAAUUUUAGAGGUGUAGAGAAAGUUCUGGAAGGAAGGAUGCCCAUCUGAGAAGCUUAGUGGUUUCCUCUAGGAAGAAUUAAUCUAGGGUGGGGGAGCUGGUUUAUAAGGGGGAUAAACAGUAAUGGGAAAAAAUACAAUAAAAAAAAAGAAGUAA